UACGAAGGGUGCAAGCGUUGCUCGGAAUUAUUGGGCGUAAAGGGUAGGUAGGUGGUUACGUAUGUCUGAGGUGAAAGCCCCGAGCUUAACUUGGGAAGUGCCUUGGAAACGGCGUAACUAGAGUAUUGGAGAGGUUUGUAGAAUUCCCGGUGUAGCGGUGAAAUGCGUAGAGAUCGGGAGGAAUAUCAGAGGCGAAGGCGACAAACUGGACAAUUACUGACACUAAACUACGAAAGCGUGGGGAGCAAACAGG
Molecule: ribosomal RNA, 253 nt
Filed under: uncultured bacterium
Lineage: Bacteria
Description: partial 16S ribosomal RNA
Rfam family: Bacterial small subunit ribosomal RNA
Source: RNAcentral